This 838-nucleotide ribosomal RNA is filed under the name uncultured bacterium. Its description in RNAcentral is "bacterial SSU rRNA". It matches the Rfam family "Bacterial small subunit ribosomal RNA", at positions 524 to 1381 of the family's 1533-position model. The record is from RNAcentral.
UACGAGGGAUGCAAGCGUUAUCCGGAAUUAUUGGGCGUAAAGCGUUUGUAGGCGGGCGAGUGUGUUUAAUGUUAAAUCUUAAAGCUCAACUUUGAAAUUGCGUUAAAAACUGCUUGUCUUGAGUAUGGUAGGGGUAAAGGGAAUUCCCAGUGUAGCGGUGAAAUGCGUAGAUAUUGGGAAGAACACUAAACAGCGAAGGCACUUUACUAGGCUAAUACUGACGCUGAGAAACGAAAGGUAAGGUAGCGAAACGGAUUAGAUACCCGUGUAGUCUUACCCGUAAACUAUGGACACUAAACGGUAAAUUUUUAAUUUACUGUUAAAGCUAACGCGUUAAGUGUCCCGCCUGGGGAGUAUGCUUGCAAAAGUGAAGCUCAAAGGAAUUGACGGGGGCCCGCACAAGCGGUGGAGCAUGUGGUUUAAUUCGACGGUACACGAAGAACCUUACCAGGAUUUGACAUGCUAGAUAGUUGCUUGAAAGAGUAACGUGCCGUAAGGAAUCUAGACACAGGUGGUGCAUGGCUGUCGUCAGUUCGUGUUGUGAAAUGUUGGGUUAAGUCCCGCAACGAACGCAACCCUUGUCUUUAGUUAUUUUCUAAAGAGACUGCCUGUAAUAAACAGGAGGAAGGUAAGGAUGAGGUCAAGUCAUCAUGCCCCUUAUGUCCUGGGCUACACACGUGCUACAAUGGGAAAGACAAUGAGCUGCAAAUCUGUAAAUUUAAGCAAAUCUCUUAAACUUUCUCGUAGUUCGGAUUGUGGGCUGCAACUCGCCCACAUGAAGUUGGAAUCGCUAGUAAUCGCCAGUCAGCUAUAUGGCGGUGAAUCCGUUCCCGGGCCU